UUUUCCAUCACUACCAAAACACCUUUCUUUUCACCGAUUCAUAGUCUUCAAACCAUUCAAUUCCUUCCUUAUGCAUCUUCGAUUCAUGUUUUUCAAUUGAUACCAAAACCCUCAAACACCCAAACCCAUUUGAUUCCCUCAAACCUCUAAAUUCCUAAUCUUUAACCGAUUUCAAAACCCUCAAACACCCAAAGCCUCAUCUGUGGUCCUUGUCGAAUUCUUCUCUCAACAUUAAAAAUUGAGGUUUGUGAAAAGAAACAAGCAGAUCUACUGUUAUUUGAGGAGGUUUGCUGCCAAAUCAAGAGGAUCUAGAGCUGCGACCCAUCACUGUUAUUUGGCUGUUUGUGCCUGUUUUUGGUGUCUAAGUGGUGUUGUUUGGCUGCUGGUCCAGCAGAAGUGGCAUGCCUCUGUUGUUUUUUUGCUAUGAACUGCUAUAAUUGUCAGCACAUCAAUCGCCGUUGCACCAAAAUUGUCGUCUGAAAUCUCAAAAUUGUGCAGGAGCAAUGCCAAAGUCCAGGAGGAUAAAGAAUUUCCUUAAAGUAUCAAAUG
This 549-nucleotide long non-coding RNA is filed under the name Medicago truncatula (barrel medic). RNAcentral's name for it is "lncRNA gene30751". The record is from RNAcentral. Lineage: Eukaryota; Viridiplantae; Streptophyta; Magnoliopsida; Fabales; Fabaceae.